GUAAUAGUCAUUUGCUAACUACAUCUUAAAAGACAAAGCUACUAACCAACUUGCUGAUGAACACAACUAAAGAUUGACUAGGCAUAUGACAUAGGACCUUUGAACUGAUAGGCUAGUGAUUUGCGCACGUAUUAAGCCGACUUAAAUCAGUAGCAAUUUAUUAUUAUCUACCUAGGAUAUUGGCACUAAAUGUAUGUAUAAUGUCUUCCUUUUUUUAAAAAAAAAUUUUGCCUUCUGAUAUGAUAUUGCUACUGUGACACCCCUUACCCGUCUA
RNAcentral lists this unclassified non-coding RNA (274 nucleotides) under Hevea brasiliensis (rubber tree). Lineage: Eukaryota; Viridiplantae; Streptophyta; Magnoliopsida; Malpighiales; Euphorbiaceae. The record is from RNAcentral.